ACUUUCACCUUGAGAAUGCCCCAUCUCGUCUGAUCUCAGAAGCUAAACUGGGAUGACCGUGGUUAGUACUUGGAUGACUUGGAGACCGACCGACGGGAAUACCAGGUGUC
Molecule: ribosomal RNA, 110 nt
Filed under: Periophthalmus magnuspinnatus
Lineage: Eukaryota; Metazoa; Chordata; Actinopteri; Gobiiformes; Gobiidae
Source: RNAcentral